CAGCUAAACUGCAACCAGAUUCCUGGUCCACACAUACUGUGAGAUAAUAAUAAAUGCUUUUUGUUUUAAGCUGCUAAAGUUUGGAAUCAUUUGCUUUUCAGCAAAGGUAACUAAGACAGGAUCCCAUAAAGGACUCAAGACUCUUCUGGUCUCAAACCAGGGUCUCCAACUGGCUGAACUAAGCUGAAAGUCUGAUGCCCGGGAAAGACAACCUACAGAGACUUGAAUUUUGUGUAACACAGAAGAUAACAGAAACAACAACAACAACAACAACAAGGAAUGAUAAUGGGGGAAAAUAAGCACAGGAUUAGCACAAGUGUCAUUGGAGCAGAUAAACAAGCCUUUUACAUCUUUUGCACCAUCCUGUCUCCUCAACCUCCCAAAUCACUGAGAUUACAGAUGUGA
RNAcentral lists this long non-coding RNA (405 nucleotides) under Macaca mulatta (Rhesus monkey). RNAcentral's name for it is "lncRNA (ENSMMUG00000056981.1)". The record is from RNAcentral. Lineage: Eukaryota; Metazoa; Chordata; Mammalia; Primates; Cercopithecidae.